RNAcentral lists this ribosomal RNA (318 nucleotides) under uncultured bacterium. RNAcentral's name for it is "bacterial SSU rRNA". It matches the Rfam family "Bacterial small subunit ribosomal RNA", at positions 29 to 348 of the family's 1533-position model. The record is from RNAcentral.
AUUGAACGCUGGCGGCAUGCCUUACACAUGCAAGUCGAGCGCGAAAGGGGGGCAACCCCCGAGUAGAGCGGCGGACGGGUGAGUAACACAUCGGAACGUGCCCAGUAGUGGGGGACAACCUCGAGAAAUCGAGGCUAAUACCGCAUACGACCCACGGGUGAAAGCGGGGGACCGCGAAGGCCUCGCGCUAUUGGAGCGGCCGAUGUCCGAUUAGCUAGUUGGCGGGGUAAGAGCCCACCAAGGCGACGAUCGGUAGCUGGUCUGAGAGGACGACCAGCCACACUGGGACUGAGACACGGCCCAGACUCCUACGGGAGG